CUUCCGGUUCAUCACGUUCAAGAUCAACGAGCAGACGCAGCAGGUGGUGGUGGACAGGCUGGGGCAGCCGGGCGACACCUACGACGACUUCACCGGCUCCAUGCCCGAGAGCGAGUGCCGCUACGCCGUCUUCGACUUCGACUUCACCACCGACGAGAACUGCCAGAAGAGCAAGAUCUUGUUCAUCUCCUGGUAAUAAUCGAAUCAAUGUCAGACCGUGUCCGAUUGCCUUUCUGAUCGUUCAAUUAUUAGUGACUCUCUUUCGCCGUAUCUCG
Molecule: long non-coding RNA, 275 nt
Filed under: Zea mays
Lineage: Eukaryota; Viridiplantae; Streptophyta; Magnoliopsida; Poales; Poaceae
Description: long non-coding RNA (ZMAY_LNC000721)
Source: RNAcentral